Molecule: long non-coding RNA, 3294 nt
Filed under: Fukomys damarensis (Damara mole-rat)
Lineage: Eukaryota; Metazoa; Chordata; Mammalia; Rodentia; Bathyergidae
Description: lncRNA (ENSFDAG00000030507.1)
Source: RNAcentral
CAGAGGCUAAGGUGGAAUCACCUUGGGUAGCUGUAUUUCCAAGUCUGGAAGGUCACCAACAGGGCCAGUGGCCUCUCCUGUGCCCUCCUGCACUGCCCUCACUCACCCUGAUGCCUCAGCUCUAGAGCUGUGGCCCAGCUCUUCUCUGUGGUUGGAAGUUAGCUCUCCUCAUCCUCCUUCUCCACCCACGCCUGCCCAAAGCUGCUGCUUAGAUGCUUGUGUUUCUGUGUCAUAUCAUUGGUGGUUUAAUAUUCAAGAGAUGGCAUUAAAUAAGUGUGAUCAAUUAUGCAAUGUGUUUGGAAACAAUCUGGCUAGUCCCAAAGCACUUGGGUGAGAAGCUAAACUUUCGCGAGGCAAAGGUCUGGGAGAUCUUGGAGGGUUGGGAAGAGAGGCCCACAGCUGGUCUGCCUGUCUGUGCCUUCCCUGACUCAGGUCUGGGGUUAUUCAUCUUUCUCCAAACAGGAUGAGCAGGGGAGUAGGAAGCCCAUGGGUUUGCACAGCCAGAAUCUCCAAGUUGCAUCCUGGCUAUGAAGUUGCUUCUCACUGGUUCUCAGUCUUCUCAUUUCUGAAGACAGCUAAAAAUGCCCACCCGGAUUCAGGUGAGAUGACUCAGCUCUAAUUUGGAGAACAUUUUUCAGGAAGGGAAGUUGAAACUAAUAACGAGAAAUGAGGAGCACAAGCUCAGGUUCCUGACAUGGUGGGAUGGAGGGGCACAGGGCAUGGAUGGACUCCAAGGUUCGUGCAUAACCACAACACCAGCUGUGUGAGCAAGGUGGUAAUCAAAGCCCAGAGAAGGGGCUUCAGGAAUUUAGAGGGAGGUGUGGCUAAUCCCAUCAAUGGUGCAGGGAAGUCUCACAGAGCUUCCAUGUGUGCUGGCUUUGCAUGGCUGAAUGGCAUUUUGACCCCAGAGAGAGGGCUGCCCCAUUUAUCCACCAUAGAAUAGGCAACUACCAUGUCUAUGAAUUCAGUAAGUAUUUACUGAUCACCUAUGUUCCAGCUACUCCACUAAGCACCUCACAUGGAUUAUCUUUGUUGACUUUUGAAAGAUACCUCUGUUGCUUCCAUUUUACAGAUGAGGAAACUGAGGCUCAGAGAGGCUGCUCAAGUUGUAGAAUUAGUAUUCUGAAUCCAGGCCUGAGGCUGGCUCUCAAGAUCUCAAUAACCACUGAACAUACUGCUGCCUUCCAGCUGUCAGCCACUGCCCUCUAUCUGAGCUCUUGGCACAAAUCACAGCAAGCCACCUGGCUAUCCCACCUCUCAGGCUCCAUGUGCUUGAUGGUAGAAGGAACCAGGACCAGCCACUCUCAAAGUUAACACAGUGUGAUGCCAAAGUCGGGUGUGCAGCAUUGGACCAUGAACAGGACUUACUCAGCCCGGAUCAGUUUUACACACAAUGAGGUGUACACAGCUAUGUAAAUCAUCACCACGAUCAAGAUAUGAAACUAUUCCUCCACCACAAGGAUUUCUCGGCCCCCCUCAUUUUGGAAGCUGUAAGUUGUUUUCUAUCAUAUGCAAUAUUGUUCUUUGAAUAAUAUUAUAUAAAUGGAAUCAGGUAAUAUGCAACCUCUUAGGGGAUUUUUUUUUCCUUUUAAGUCAGUGUAAGUCUCUGAAGACUUAUCCACACAGUUGUACACGUGAGCAUUUCAUUUCUUUUGAUCACUGAGUGGUGUCCCAUGCACAGGUGUGCUACAAUUUGUUUGAACAUUUGUUCACAGAGCAGGUAUGCAGCACACACCUGUUACCCUGGGAAUCUAAGAGGCGAAGGCAGAAGGGUGGUAUGUUUGAGUCCAGCCUGGGCAACUUAGUGAGACCUUGUCUUAAAAUGAAAAUUUAUUUAUCAGCGCUGGGGAUGUAGCUCAGUCUGAAGGCCCUGGAUUCAGUCUUCAAUAACACACACACACACACACACACACACACACACACAUGUGGGUGUGCAAAAGUGCUUGUGCACACACACAAAAUGGCUACCCUGUUUUCCAGAAUGGAGGUACCAUUUUACAUUCCUACCAGCAACGUAUGUGAGUAAUCUAAUCUUUCCACAUCUUUGUAACUAUGUGGGGUCAUCAUUGUUUUCUGUCUUAGUCCUCCUGAAGGAUGUGUGUGGUCCUCACACCAUGGUUCUCAUUUAUAUUUUCCUAAUGGCGAAAGAUGUUGAACAUCUUUUCUUAUGCUUACUUGCCAUAUGUAAAUCCUCUUUAGAGAAAUGCCUCUUCAUGUCUUUUGCUCAUUUUCUAAUUGAAUUGUUUGAUUUCUUUCUGGUUGAAUUCUGAUAGUUCUUAUAUGCCAGAUGCCAGCCCUGUGUUAGAUUUUAUAGUUUGCAAAUAUUUUCUUUCAGUCUAUAGCUUUCCUUUUCAUUCUCUUAAGAAUUCUUUUUUUUUGGACUGAGGAUAUAGCUCCACUGCCUGCCUCACAAGUGAAAGGUCCUGAGUUCAAUCCCCAGUACCAAAACAAAAAAAUUAGAAUUCUCCUUUUAAAUGUGGGGGUGGACCACAAGGUUUUAAUUUUGUGAAGUUCAACUUAUCUUUAAAAUAUUUGGUUUGCUUUUAGGGAUCACACUUUUCCUGUCAAGCCUAAGAACUCUGUGUUUAAGCCCAGAACCUGAUGAUUUUACUCUUGCUUUUCCUUUUUCCAGAAGCCUUAUAGUUUUACAUUUUGCAUUUAAGCCCCUCGUUCUUGCUGAGUUAGUGUUAUGUAAGGUGUGAGACUUAGAUCCAGCUUGAAGUUAUUAAUAUCAUUGUCUGUCUACGGAGGUCCCGUCAGCCUAGCACCACCCGUUGAACUGCAUCUUGGCAUAUUUGUGUGGCUCUGUUUCUGGUCAUCUCCUUCACAGCACAGACUUACAUGUCAUCACUCCAUCACCGCCACACAAUCUUGAUUUCUAUAUAAUGAAUCUCACCAUCUGAUAGACUGAUUAUUCACUUUAUUUUUUCAAAGUUACUUUAGCAAUCCUACUCUUUUGACUUAGCAUACACAUUUCAGAAUAAUCCUUCCUACAAAUACAGAUAUUUUGGUGAUAUUUUGAUAGGAAGUGAUAAAACUGACAUCUUUAUUGUGCUGAGUCUUCCACUCAUGAAUAGAGUACUAUGUCUCUUCAUUUAUUUAGCUAUCUGACUUCUUUCGUUAGUGUUUUAUCAGUUCUUAGUACUAAGGAUUGAAACCAGGCCCUUGGCACCGCACUGUGUCCUCAGCCCUUUCUUAUUUUGAGAUAAGGGUCUUACUAGGUAGCUAAGUUGCCCGGACAGGGCUCAAACUUGUGACUUCCCUGACUCUGCCUCCAGGACUGCUGGAAUUACA